AUUAGGAUUUAUUUAUUUUAUUCACAGCUGGCCGUUACGUAAGAUCGUCCAAUCCCGAGGAAAUGGCACGUGCCAAGGAUCAAUUUAGCAAAUUCGGAACUGGACAGUCACAAACCGAAUACUUAAAAGCACAUCGGGCAAACCAGAAAAAAAUAAUUGACCAAAAAAAUCCAAAAUGACUGGACUUGAUGCAAAAAAAUAUCAAUGCCGCCGUCAUCUAUGCUGGUCAUCAAUAAAAUAUGUCAUUUUGAUUUUUUUUUAUUUAUUCUAAAAUUGUUGUGCAUCGGUCAAUAAAUUUUUUUGCCUUUGUGUAUUAAUUCCAUCUGAACUAUGUGUAUUUGUUUAUAUAUACAACUACGCAGACUCAAAUUUUAAUCGAACUGAUAAAAUUCAAAGCACCAUUCGCACUGGCUGUUAGCGCAUCGAUAUGUUUGAAAAUAUCAAAAAAUUAUGCUGCCCAUCACAGUUUUAAAUAAAUAUUUAUAUGUUGUGCUAUCCCAGUGUUGGAAGAUAAAUUCAUCAUUUUGUGCGGCUAUAUUAAUAGAAAUGUAACACAGCAAGACUAAAUACAAAAAAAAAAUCAUCCAUAGCCCUUGUUUAUAAUUUAAUGGUUAAUCUUAUCGAGUAUUUUGCUUGCUUGCAACAAUUUGUUGUCAUUCAUUUUCUUGGAAAUGUACAUAGUUAUACAAAAACCAACAAACUCGUGCAUCAGUUGAAGAAAGUGUUGUUUACAUGACGAAAGAUUGAGAAAAUUUUGUUGAAAAAAAUACAACGAAUGCAAACGAAGUAAGGAGGAGAGUAUUGAAUUAACAUGCAAUGCAAAAUACAAAACGUCUAUGGGUAAAAAAAAAGUGACAAAAUUCUUUUCAGACGAAUCUAAACAUUAAAAUAUCAUUGAAUUAUAUUGAAAAAAAUAUAUCCACCGCAUGCGGAUGAGAUGAGGCAAAGCGAAAGUGAAGCGCGCAAUUUCGCACGAAGGAACCAUAUAGCGCAAAAUGACGAAGUGUUUGCCUGCUAUACCGUGCCUUCGUGUGGACUUGCGCGCUCCUCUUUCGCUUUGCUAUCCGCAUGCGGCUCAAUCAUUAAAUGAGUGGAUGUAUUUUUUCAAUGUUCGAACGAAUCAGUUUAACGCUUGAUUCUAUCUGGUAAAGUCCCAUUUUAUCGAGUUGUCUGUAAAAAUGCCGCUAGACAAGGAUAAUGCAGGCCAUCGUGAUUUUUCUGAUCGGCUUGAUGCGAAAUUUACCGGAAACAGUUUUUAUGACAAAACUGCUCGACCCAUCAUCCAUGGCGCAUAUCACGCUGGCCGUUACGUA
Long non-coding RNA from Sitodiplosis mosellana (orange wheat blossom midge), 1313 nucleotides. RefSeq lists it as uncharacterized. The record is from RefSeq and is a predicted model, not a curated record. Lineage: Eukaryota; Metazoa; Arthropoda; Insecta; Diptera; Cecidomyiidae. The transcript is spliced from 3 exons.